RNAcentral lists this ribosomal RNA (500 nucleotides) under uncultured bacterium. RNAcentral's name for it is "partial 16S ribosomal RNA". It matches the Rfam family "Bacterial small subunit ribosomal RNA", at positions 30 to 523 of the family's 1533-position model. The record is from RNAcentral.
AUUGAACGCUGGCGGAAUGCUUUACACAUGCAAGUCGAACGGCAGCACGGACUUCGGCCUGGUGGCGAGUGGCGAACGGGUGAGUAACAUAUCGGAACGUAUCCAAUAAUGGGGGAUAACGAGUCGAAAGAUUCGCUAAUACCGCAUACGCCCUACGGGGGAAAGCUGGGGACCUUCGGGCCUGGCGUUAAUGGAGCGGCCGAUAUCUGAUUAGCUAGUUGGUGAGGUAAAGGCUCACCAAGGCGACGAUCAGUAGCUGGUCUGAGAGGACGACCAGCCACACUGGAACUGAGACACGGUCCAGACUCCUACGGGAGGCAGCAGUGGGGAAUUUUGGACAAUGGGCGCAAGCCUGAUCCAGCCAUUCUGCGUGAGUGAAGAAGGCCUUCGGGUUGUAAAGCUCUUUCGCAAGGGAAGAAAACUUAGCCACUAACAUUGGUUGAGGUUGAUGGUACCUUGAUAAGAAGCACCGGCUAACUACGUGCCAGCCGCCGCAGUAA